GGACCUCAGCAUGAACAACCUCACAGAGCUUCAGCCUGGCCUCUUCCACCACCUGCGCUUCUUGGAGGAGCUGCGUCUCUCUGGGAACCAUCUCUCACACAUCCCAGGACAAGCAUUCUCUGGUCUCUACAGCCUGAAAAUCCUGAUGCUGCAGAACAAUCAGCUGGGAGGAAUCCCCGCAGAGGCGCUGUGGGAGCUGCCGAGCCUGCAGUCGCUGUGAGUCAUUAGAGGGCCAGUCUGGGAGUCACCAGCUUCCUGGGGCCUGAGUCACAGCCCAGGGGCCCCUGCCUCAGCUUUCCCUUCCCUCUGCAGGCACCUCCUCUCCCCGUCCACGUUCCAGACAGCAUGCUGCUCUUGGCUUUGGUUUCUCCGGGGUUUUCUGUUGUCAUCAGUGUGUGGAUGUGUACACUCCUAUGUGUAUUUCAGGAAAAGAGGGCUCCCACGCCCCACUGGGGGACUGUGGGAAUGGGACCUCCCUAGGUGAGGCCACCAGGCCAGCGGUCCUGGGGCGACUGGCGUUCUGCCAUUGGAGCCUGGGGUUAGGGGUGGAGACUGCC
Molecule: small RNA, 557 nt
Filed under: Pongo abelii (Sumatran orangutan)
Lineage: Eukaryota; Metazoa; Chordata; Mammalia; Primates; Hominidae
Description: retained intron
Source: RNAcentral